RNAcentral lists this long non-coding RNA (736 nucleotides) under Monodelphis domestica (gray short-tailed opossum). Its description in RNAcentral is "lncRNA (ENSMODG00000034445.2)". The record is from RNAcentral. Lineage: Eukaryota; Metazoa; Chordata; Mammalia; Didelphimorphia; Didelphidae.
AUCUGGUAACUAUUGUGACAGAGGGUCUACACUCUGGGCAGAGUGACAGGCUGAAGAGUUGAUGGAUCUGCUCACCUCCAUGGGGGAGGGGUCCCAGGAGGUCUGGAAUGUUGAGAAACCAGAAGAUUCUGGCUGGGAUUUCAGUUGAGAUCUCUCAACCUUGAGAAGCCUAGGAGGAGAGGUCUGGCCAAGCCUUUCUCCUGGGAUAUACCCAUCUCUUUCCUUUUCUGGCAACUGGACAUUCUCCCCACCCCCCCUCCAAUUCCCAAAUGAAGGAACAUCUGAAGAAGACAUUUAAGCAUCUGUAAAAACUUUACCUCACAGCUCCUGGUGCCCUGGUGGCCAGGGGCCAAAGACCAGGAAAUUGAACAACAGUGGACACAGUUGUUUUCCUUGGAUCUUCCAAUGAGGGGCAGGUUUCUCCAAUCCGAGUCUAUCUUCAUGGAUGUCAGUGAACCAUGAAUCACAAGAUAAUAUGCUAGUUGAUUUUGCUGAACCAUCGUUUGCUUGUUUGUGAGACAUCAGGAGACAGUUCUAGUCACUGGGGAGAGUCCAUACUCAAGAUACUUUCCUAAAAUUUUCAGCUUUUCCCUGGACCUAAUUAUCACCAGCUCAAGAUCCCACUGUUUGUUCCAUAAGGAAGUAUCCCCAUGUCUUCUAGAGAGGUCUCCAUGCAAGGAAGAAUGUAAAUGGACAAAUAAUAUGGUAUAAAUGCAGUGAACUCAAUAAAACCAGG